UGUAGGUUGCAUCGGGGGGAAACGUUCCCGUUUCCUUCGGGACUACUUACAAGGUGCUGCAUGGUUGUCGUCAGCUCGUGCCGUGAGGUGUCGGGUUAAGUCCCAUAACGAGCGCAACCCCUAUCGUUAGUUGCCAGCAAGUAAAGUUGGGGACUCUAGCGAGACUGCCGGUGUAAACCGUGAGGAAGGUGGGGAUGACGUCAAAUCAGCACGGCCCUUAUAUCCAGGGCUACACACAUGUUACAAUGGUCGGUACAAAGAGCAGCCACUUGGUGACAAGGCGCUAAUCUCAAAAGCCGAUCUCAGUUCGGAUCGAAGUCUGCAACUCGACUUCGUGAAGUUGGAUUCGCUAGUAAUCGCGCCAUCCAGCCAUGGCGCGGUGAAUACGUUCCCGGGCCUU
RNAcentral lists this ribosomal RNA (400 nucleotides) under uncultured Marinilabiliaceae bacterium. RNAcentral describes it as "bacterial SSU rRNA". It matches the Rfam family "Bacterial small subunit ribosomal RNA", at positions 986 to 1382 of the family's 1533-position model. The record is from RNAcentral. Lineage: Bacteria; Pseudomonadati; Bacteroidota; Bacteroidia; Marinilabiliales; Marinilabiliaceae.